UGGGGAAUAUUGCACAAUGGGCGCAAGCCUGAUGCAGCCAUGCCGCGUGUAUGAAGAAGGCCUUCGGGUUGUAAAGUACUUUCAGCGGGGAGGAAGGUGUUGUGGUUAAUAACCACAGCAAUUGACGUUACCCGCAGAAGAAGCACCGGCUAACUCCGUGCCAGCAGCCGCGGUAAUACGGAGGGUGCAAGCGUUAAUCGGAAUUACUGGGCGUAAAGCGCACGCAGGCGGUCUGUCAAGUCGGAUGUGAAAUCCCCGGGCUCAACCUGGGAACUGCAUCCGAAACUGGCAGGCUUGAGUCUUGUAGAGGGGGGUAGAAUUCCAGGUGUAGCGGUGAAAAGCGUAGAGAUCUGGAGGAAUACCGGUGGCGAAGGCGGCCCCCUGGACAAAGACUGACGCUCAGGUGCGAAAGCGUGGGGAGCAAACA
Molecule: ribosomal RNA, 427 nt
Filed under: uncultured bacterium
Lineage: Bacteria
Description: partial 16S ribosomal RNA
Rfam family: Bacterial small subunit ribosomal RNA
Source: RNAcentral